GGACAACAUUCCGAAAGGAGUGCUAAUACCGGAUGUGAUCAUCGUGCCGCAUGGCAGGAUGAAGAAAGAUGGCCUCUACAAGUAAGCUAUCGCUAAAGGAUGGGCCUGCGUCUGAUUAGCUAGUUGGUAGUGUAACGGACUACCAAGGCGAUGAUCAGUAGCCGGUCUGAGAGGAUGAACGGCCACAUUGGGACUGAGACACGGCCCAAACUCCUACGGGAGGCAGCAGUGGGGAAUCUUCCGCAAUGGACGAAAGUCUGACGGAGCAACGCCGCGUGAGUGAUGAAGGAUUUCGGUCUGUAAAGCUCUGUUGUUUAUGACGAACGUGCAGUGUGUGAACAAUGCAUUGCAAUGACGGUAGUAAACGAGGAAGCCACGGCUAACUACGUGCCAGCAGCCGCGGUAAUACGUAGGUGGCGAGCGUUGUCCGGAAUUAUUGGGCGUAAAGAGCAUGUAGGCGGCUUAAUAAGUCGAGCGUGAAAAUGCGGGGCUCAACCCCGUAUGGCGCUGGAAACUGUUAGGCUUGAGUGCAGGAGAGGAAAGGGGAAUUCCCAGUGUAGCGGUGAAAUGCGUAGAUAUUGGGAGGAACACCAGUGGCGAAGGCGCCUUUCUGGACUGUGUCUGACGCUGAGAUGCGAAAGCCAGGGUAGCGAACGGGAUUAGAUACCCCGGUAGUCCUGGCCGUAAACGAUGGGUACUAGGUGUAGGAGGUAUCGACCCCUUCUGUGCCGGAG
This 734-nucleotide ribosomal RNA is filed under the name uncultured bacterium. Its description in RNAcentral is "bacterial SSU rRNA". It matches the Rfam family "Bacterial small subunit ribosomal RNA", at positions 141 to 851 of the family's 1533-position model. The record is from RNAcentral.